Molecule: long non-coding RNA, 464 nt
Filed under: Pan troglodytes (chimpanzee)
Lineage: Eukaryota; Metazoa; Chordata; Mammalia; Primates; Hominidae
Description: lincRNA
Source: RNAcentral
GUUUUCCUACGUAACAAACCUGCACAUCCUGCACAUGUAUCCUGGAACUUAAAAUAAAAUAAAAUAAAAUAAAAUUUUUUAAAAGGAUAAAUAAAUAGCAGCCUAGUCCAAAGACGUUUACAUCCUGGAAGAGAACUUGCUGGCUUUUCACCUCAGCAUGUAUGGGCCAAACUAAUAUAACAAAAAGUCUUGAGAGGAGUCAGUGGCCAAGCUCCAUGUCUUGCAGCCAAGCAAUGCUGUGGGAUGGAAGGUGGGAUGUCAUGUGUCUGGUUUACAGCACUCACGUAUCAGUUGGCAGUUAACGGAAGUGCUACUGAUUGGUGAUAUGCCUGCUCCCCCUUCACCUUCUAUCAUGAUUGUAAACUUCGUGAGGACAUCACCAAAGGCUGACAUUGGCAACAUGCUUCCUGUACAAUCUGCAGAACAACGAUGGAACAAAAUAAACAUCUUUUCUUUAUAAAUUA